UUGCCUCGUCUGGAAGUCAAUGGGUUUUUAGUUAGAUGGUUGAAAUAAGGUCUGUGUUUUACACAUGCUGAAGAGAUUUUAGUGUUUUGUUCUACGACAUAAAAUACAUCAAUAAAUACCCCACUGGUGAAUUUUGAAGCCUUUAUGUGUUUUAAAAAAGGCGGUUGUUAACAAGUGGCUAAUUGAGACUACUAAACGGCAU
This is a long non-coding RNA of Sebastes umbrosus (honeycomb rockfish), 202 nucleotides long. RefSeq lists it as uncharacterized. The record is from RefSeq and is a predicted model, not a curated record. NCBI's taxonomy places the organism in Eukaryota, Metazoa, Chordata, Actinopteri, Perciformes, Sebastidae. The transcript has 3 exons.